GAGGGUGUAGCUCAAGUGGUAGAGCGCAUGCUUAGCAUGCAUGAAAUCCUGGAUUCAAUCCCCAGUACCCGCC
RNAcentral lists this transfer RNA (73 nucleotides) under Camelus bactrianus (Bactrian camel). It matches the Rfam family "tRNA". Rfam says of the family: Transfer RNA (tRNA) molecules are approximately 80 nucleotides in length. Their secondary structure includes four short double-helical elements and three loops (D, anti-codon, and T loops). The record is from Rfam by way of RNAcentral. RNAcentral also lists the same sequence under 2 other names. Lineage: Eukaryota; Metazoa; Chordata; Mammalia; Artiodactyla; Camelidae.